Molecule: long non-coding RNA, 2004 nt
Organism: Apteryx haastii (Great spotted kiwi)
Lineage: Eukaryota; Metazoa; Chordata; Aves; Apterygiformes; Apterygidae
Source: Ensembl
ACGCAGCAGUCUGCCGCUUUGUGAGACAGCGAACAUCCACAGUGGUCACUCAUUCUGCGAGGCAGCGAAGAGACGCAGCGGUUUACUUGUUCCACAGGCAGCGAAGAGACAAAGCGGUUUGCUUGUUCGCCAGGCAGCGAACAGAUUAGGCAGUCUCCUUGUUUGUGAGACAGCGAACAUCCACAGCGGUCACUCAUUCUGCGAGGCAGCGAAGAGACGCAGCGGUUCGCUUGUUUGCUAGGCAUGGAAGAGAUGCAGGAGCUCACUAGUUUGCGAGGCAGCUAAGAGGCGCAGCGGUUUCCUUGUGUGUGAGGCAGCGAAGAGAUGCAGGGGCUCGCUAGUUUGCGAGGCAGCGAAGAGGUGCAGUGGUUAGUUGUUUUGCGAGGCAGCGAACAGAUGAAGGGGCUUGCUAGUUUGCGAGGUAGUGAAGGGACGCGGCGGUUAGUAAUUUUGCGAGGCAGAGAACAGAUGCAGUAGCUUGUCUGUUUGCGAGGCAGUGAGGAGGCACAGCGGUUAGCUUGCUUGCGAGGCCUAGAAGAGACACAGCAGCUUGUCUGUUUGCAAGGCAGGGAAUAGACGCAGCUGUUUCCUUGUUUGCGAGGCAGCCGGGAGGCGCAGCGGUUAGUUUCCCACGCAUCGAACAGAUGCAGGGCUCGCUAGUUUGCGAGGCAGUGAAGAGGCGCAGCGGUUUCCUUGUGUGCGAGGCAGCAAACAGACACAUGUGCUCGCUAGUUUGCGAGGCAGCCAGGAGGCGUAGCUGUUAGUUUCCUACGCAUCGAACAGAAGCAGCGGUUUGCUUGGGUACGAGGCAGCGAAAAGACACAGCUGUGAGAUAAUUUGCGAGGCAGCGAACAGACACAGCGGUUAGUUUCCUACACAGCGAAGAGACGCAGUGGUUUCCUUGUUUGGUAGGCAGUGAACAGACGCAGGGGAUUGCUGUUUUGCGAGGCAACGAAGAGACGCCGUGGUUUCCUUUUGUGCGAGGAAGCGAAGAGACUCAGGGGCUCGCUAGUUUGCGAAGCAACGAAGAAAAGCAGGGGUCACUAGUUUGCGAGGCCACCCACGUCACACCCACGUCACACUCACAUCACCUUCGAAUCACCCACAUCACACUCACGUCACACCCACGUCACCUUCAAAUUUCCCACGCCCCACCCAAGUCACGUUCGAACCACCCACGUCACACCCACAUCACCUUCAAAUUUUCCACGUCACACCCACGUCACGUUCAAAUCACCCACGUCACACCCACGUCACGUUCGAAUUUCCCACGUCACACCCACAUCACAAACAUGUCACGUUCUAAUCUCCCACGUCACACCCACGUCACGUUCGAAUUUCCCACGUCACACCCACGUGACAUUCGAAUCAACCACGUCACGCCCAUGUCACACCCAUGUCAUGCCCAUGUCACACCCAUGUCACAUUCGAAUUUCCCACAUCACAGCCACCUCACACCCACGUCAUGUUCAAAUUUCCCGCGUCACACCCCUCUCACAUACACCUCUCUUUCUAUCUGCUCUGCAGCUGCACCCAGGACAACAAGGUCACCCCCCCAAGCAGGUAACCUCUCCUUCUCUCUGGGUGUCAUGUCUCCCUGGGGCCAGGCUGUGACCUGCAGCCCGAGGGAAGGGACUCUGUGCUGGGGUGCAAAGACCUGGAUAGGAGGCUCUGGGGUGGGAGUGGGUGGCUUUGGGGAGGGCUGUGAUUCACCCAGCAGUGUGGGAGCUGCCCUGUGACCCUCCCCUGUGCCCCCACUGCCUCCUGCCAUGUGGGGGGGCCAGGACUGGGGCGUCCCUGAGCCCCCACCUCCCCUCAGCCAGGGGCUGCCUUGUCCAUGUCCCCGCCCAUGCAGAUCCCCCUUGGGGCCAUGCAAGGCACAGCAGGAGAGUCUGGGUGCCUGUCAUCAUCUGCAUCAUCCUGGGGGCCCUGCUCUGCCUGCUCCUGACCCUCCUGGUGGGGCAAGCGCGAAGUGCCAGGGCUCAGCACAGAGGUGGGUGCUUC